CGGGCCGUAGUGUAACGGCAGCACGAGUCAAUGGGGUUGAUUUAGUUCGGGUUCGAAUCCCGGCGGCCCGA
RNAcentral lists this transfer RNA (71 nucleotides) under bacterium. Its description in RNAcentral is "tRNA-Pro". It matches the Rfam family "tRNA". From Rfam's summary of the family: Transfer RNA (tRNA) molecules are approximately 80 nucleotides in length. Their secondary structure includes four short double-helical elements and three loops (D, anti-codon, and T loops). The record is from RNAcentral.